Biomphalaria pfeifferi is the source of this 274-nucleotide non-coding RNA. The record is from the annotation of a GenBank genome assembly. Lineage: Eukaryota; Metazoa; Mollusca; Gastropoda; Planorbidae.
GCAGAUUACAAGUUUGUGUGAUUCAACCACAUGUCUUUUAUUUUCCUUCUUUUUACAAAUAAUAAAAAAAAGCAGGUAGACGUCAUUAAAUAAAACUUUACAACUUUGACCUUAAUCUUCGGAAUGGAAGACAUUGCCAUAUUAACUGAAUGAAUAACACAUUCAAUCUAAUAACUGUUGAGUUGUUUAACAAAGACGCUUCACCUCCAGUACAAUGUAGCAAAGCAAAAUGAUGAAAUUCUUUAGUCUCUUUUAGUAUGCAGACUGUUGACUA